RNAcentral lists this ribosomal RNA (301 nucleotides) under uncultured bacterium. Its description in RNAcentral is "partial 16S ribosomal RNA". It matches the Rfam family "Bacterial small subunit ribosomal RNA", at positions 509 to 809 of the family's 1533-position model. The record is from RNAcentral.
CAGUAGCCGCGGGAAUACGAAGGGUGCAAGCGUUACUCGGAAUUACUGGGCGUAAAGCGUGCGUAGGUGGUGGUUUAAGUCCGUUGUGAAAGCCCUGGGCUCAACCUGGGAAUUGCAGUGGAUACUGGGUCACUAGAGUGUGGUAGAGGAUAGUGGAAUUUCCGGUGUAGCAGUGAAAUGCGUAGAGAUCGGAAGGAACAUCUGUGGCGAAGGCGACUAUCUGGGCCAACACUGACACUGAGGCACGAAAGCGUGGGGAGCAAACAGGAUUAGAUACCCGAGUAGUCCCUGUCUCUUAUAA